GAUGAACGCUGGCGGCGUGCUUAACACAUGCAAGUCGAACGGGAAACCUUUUAUUGAAGCUUCGGCAGAUUUAGCUGGUUUCUAGAGGCGGACGGGAAAGUAACGCGUGGGUAACCUGCCUUAUACAGGGGGAUAACAAACAGAAAUGGUUGCUAAUACCGCAUAAGCGCACAGGACCGCAUGGUCCGGUGUGAAAAACUCCGGUGGUAUAAGAUGGACCCGCGUUGGAUUAGCUGGUUGGCAGGGUAACGGCCUACCAAGGCGACGAUCCAUAGCCGGCCUGAGGACGUGAACGGCCACAUUUGGACUGAGACACGGCCCAGACUCCGACGGGAGGCAGCAGUGGGGAAUAUUGCACAAUGGGGGAAACCCUGAUGCAGCGGCGUCGCGUGAAGGAAGAAGUAUCUCGGUAUGUAAACUUCUAUCAGCAGGGAAGAUAGUGACGGUACCUGACGAAGAAGCCCCGGCUAACUACGUG
This 478-nucleotide ribosomal RNA is filed under the name uncultured bacterium. Its description in RNAcentral is "partial 16S ribosomal RNA". It matches the Rfam family "Bacterial small subunit ribosomal RNA", at positions 28 to 507 of the family's 1533-position model. The record is from RNAcentral.